AACCAUAGAAACCUGCGGAGUACCUGCGGAGGGAUCAUUAUCGAGUUGCAAAACUCCAACCCUUUGUGAACAUACCUCAGUCGUUGCUUCGGCGGUGGACGGCCUUUUUUCGAAAAGGCCCGAAGCCGCCGGAGGUUCCAAACUCGUGUUUUGUUUAGUGUAUCUCUGAGCCUGAAAACAAAUAAUCAAAACUUUUAGCAACGGAUCU
This 208-nucleotide unclassified non-coding RNA is filed under the name soil metagenome. RNAcentral describes it as "partial contains 5.8S ribosomal RNA, internal transcribed spacer 2, and large subunit ribosomal RNA". The record is from RNAcentral.